AAGCACCUUUACCUGCUGAGCCAUCUUGCCAGACUUCAUUGUUGUUGUUGUUGUUGUUGUUGUUGUUAACACAACAGAAUCUCACUGUGCUUCCAAGGCUGGACUUGAACUCCUGAGUGCCACUGAUCUUCCUGACUCCUCAGAGAUUGGGUGUCUGGGCGAAUGUCCCUGUGCCUAGCCUUUUACUAACAUCAUGCCUUAAUAUACCUUGUUUUCCAUUUAUGGGUCAAUAUCAACACACUAUUAUUUGAGGUUCAUAGUUUACAUUAGACUCGUGCUGUGUUAUGCAAGUUCCCUGGAUCUUGACAAAUGUCACCAUUACAGCAUCAUACAGACUUGUUUCACUGCUCUGAAAAUCCCCCUCAGUGCUCUCGGCAUGGCGACCUCCCCACCUCAAGGCCCUGCCAAGCACUCCACUCAUAAUAAUUGUUGCUCCAUUAUUGUGCCUUUCUGGAAUGUCCUAUCAUAGGACAUGCACGAUGUGGGGUUUAUCCAUCUGCUUCCCACUUUUGUGGAUUACAAACCUCUGUAAACAUCUGUGCGUAGCUUUUUGUGUGGACAUAGGUUUCCAGCAAAUGUAUCCGAGGGCAGCCCCCGAGUCAUGUGGUGAAGCUCUGUUCAGUUUUUCACAGGACUGCCAAGCUGUCUUCUGGCCAGCAGUGAAUGGGAGCUCCUGCUGCUCCCUCCUCAUUUGUGACUGUCCGAUUCUUGGAUGUCAGCCAUUCUGAGAGGUGUGCCGUGGUCCCUGCGGUGGCUUCCAUCUGGGGUUCCCUCGUGACACACGAUGUCUCACAUCUGCUCCUGCACACGUUUGCCAUCUGCCACUCUUCAUAAAAUACACGCCCAGGUGACAGCUGGGGCUUCUGGUCCCUCAAAAGUCAGAUAAGAUUCAUUAAGUCCCUUAUUCCAAGCCUGUGAACAUGCUAAUGCCUCCUUGAGAUAAAGGGAGGCAAGAUUAGACUAGGAGAAGCUUCUAGAAGUGGAGGCAUCUACCACACUUAUUUCCACACGGAACCUGAGUGCCUUUCCAGUCCCCCUCAUGUGAUCUUGGCAAGGACCACCCUCCAGUGGGUGGGGCAGGUACCGUUUACGAUCAUUACUUGAGAAAUGAAAAGUGUGGAGGUAAGUUGUUCCAGCUUACACACCCUGAGGAGGGAGAGUGAGGCAUGAGCUCCGGUCACUCAUCACUCAGCCCUAAGCGUCUUGUGGUGGCAGAAUUGGCCUGUUUGCUGAAGACUGGUGAAGCUGGUAAGUACCCUAGCCACCUCUUUGUUUUCUUUUUCUUUAUUAAACAUUUACUUAAUUGUUCGUUUAUUUUGUGUGGGGGGUGGGAGUUGUGAGCACCUGUGGAGACCAGAGGACAGCUUUUGGGAGUCAGUACCAUCCUUCCACCAUGUGGGUUCUGGGGCUCAAACCCAGGCAAUCAGCCCCGGUGGCAGCUGCCCUUACCUCUGACCAUUCCGUCCUCCCACAGAUCUUUCUGUGUGAUCCAGGUUCUCCUUAAACUCCCCAGCCUCCUGCCUCAGCCUCCCGGUGUCACAGGCUUGGGCCGCCACCCCUGGCUUGUGUCAUGAAGGCCUUUAACAUGUCUACGUCCAGACAGUCAGGAAAUGGAAGCGGAGAUUCACUGAAUCUCGCUUGGUCUCAGGUGGAGCUGGAGUCUGGGGGCUCCCCAGUCUCUCCUGGUGGGGCUCUGGAAAUAGGCAGCUUCCCAGCAGUUAUGGAAGGCCUGGCAUGCUUUGACAACUUGCUUGGGUCCUUCAUGCCCUCCGUGUGCUGGCCAGCUGCCAUCAGAUAAUAAAGAACUCCCUUGGGAGAGUGUCCUUCACACCUGCCUUUUCCUUUACGGGACUCUGACACCUGAGGCUGCCGUUCUCCCAGCCUGCCACUCACAAGCAAGUACCAAGCAUGCCUAGGCCGCAGGGCCCAUGCCUUUCUGUCUGCCUCUCCACGUCUCUCUUCUGCCUCCUGAUUUACCUCAUGGCUACUUUGUAUGGCUCUGCAUGGCAGUGAGGUGCACAUUCCUGCCGGGGACUGCAAGUAGCAGCCAGAUCCCCAUCUGUUGGUCAGCUCUUUUUUUUUUUUUUUAAUCUCAUGUAGCCAAGGUUAGCCUCAAACUUUCAGAGUAGCAGAGGAUGACUUUGAACCUCUGAUCCUUCUGCUUCUACCUCCAAGUGCUGGGAUUACAUGCAUAUAAUGCCAUGCCUGUUUUAUAUGGUGCUGGGACUCAAAUUCAGGGCCUUAUAUGCUAGGCAGUACUCUACCACUGAGUUAUAUCCUAGCCCAAGUCAACGUAUUUUAAAACAGCGAGUGUGAUGUAUUGAUUUCUUACCCAGAAUUUCUGGCAAUUUCCAGAAAUAUGGCAGUGUGGCCCUUCCUGGAGGCUGCAACCUGGAACAUGCCCUGGACCAUUGUGCUGAGAGGCAGAAUGUGGGGAGCAGAAGAUCAGCAUCUUGCAAGACAAUUUUGGCAAUUCAGAGACAUGGGAAGCAUCCCUAGCUCAUGGGAUGGACAAGAUGGGCAGCAGGCUGGAUUGGAUCCCUGAGCUGUCUUGGACUGGACAUUGACCCCUGGAUUUUCUGCCAACUCCGUCAUGGUUUCUUUCUCCUCCUUUGCUCUCUUCUCCCCUCCCCUGCCCUUCCAGAGCUAAUCUAGCUGAGGAGAGAGAUACAAGCAACUCAGUAAGCCAGUGCUACCAGGUGGUGAGAGCUGCAGGUUCAACGAAGUCCAGUAGAACAAGACCUGACAUAGAGGCUAGGAAGGGACAGGUCCACAUCCCACAGUGGUGGCAGGUGUCCUAGGUCUUCACAUGGCCGAGCUAGAGGCACCUGCCCACCUUCGUUUGCUCUGCUUUCCUUCCUAGGACCAGGUCUUUACUUCCUGACUAGUUUCCCUGGAAGUACUUUAUAAUAAACGACUUAAAAAACA
Peromyscus maniculatus bairdii (prairie deer mouse) is the source of this 2928-nucleotide non-coding RNA. The record is from RefSeq and is a predicted model, not a curated record. NCBI's taxonomy places the organism in Eukaryota, Metazoa, Chordata, Mammalia, Rodentia, Cricetidae.